GGCCAUUACGGCCGCCGGUGCAUAUUCGUUUCCUUUCAAGAUCUGAAGCCGCACAUCGUACCAUGGCUGCAGUCUUUUGCGGGGUUCUGUACAGUUGCCAUCCAGCCAUUUUUGCACCCGUGUUAGAGAAGCCACCGAGUCUCUCUUGCGGCCGAUGAAAGAGAGACAUAGAGUUAUCUGCCGCUCCAAUUCCUAACCAAUGUUCCCCAGCACUGAUGGAC
Molecule: unclassified non-coding RNA, 221 nt
Filed under: Hevea brasiliensis (rubber tree)
Lineage: Eukaryota; Viridiplantae; Streptophyta; Magnoliopsida; Malpighiales; Euphorbiaceae
Source: RNAcentral